This is a long non-coding RNA of Lonchura striata (white-rumped munia), 316 nucleotides long. Lineage: Eukaryota; Metazoa; Chordata; Aves; Passeriformes; Estrildidae. The record is from Ensembl.
ACGGAAGGAGGGCGGGGAAGCGGGAGGUGGAGCGGGAGGGGGGAGUCACUUUCUUCCUGCGUUGAAAAACGCACCCCCCACACCCCUCCCCGCUCCGUCCCCCGGGGCUGCGGAGGGAAACUUUGUGGCAGGCGGUCGGCGCCGGACAGGGGCGGCGGGCGCGCCGGCACCGCGGGAGCCUCCGAGCCUGCUGCUACCGAGUCCAGCCUCCCAAACAUGCGUGCGUGAAAGGUAAGCAGUAGCAUCCUUGUCUUGCGCCUAGGCAAGCUGAGAGACAGGAACAGAGUGACUUGCCCGAUGCAACUUCCUGCCACUU